This 599-nucleotide ribosomal RNA is filed under the name Salmonella enterica subsp. enterica serovar Heidelberg. RNAcentral's name for it is "partial 16S ribosomal RNA". It matches the Rfam family "Bacterial small subunit ribosomal RNA", at positions 1 to 589 of the family's 1533-position model. The record is from RNAcentral. Lineage: Bacteria; Pseudomonadati; Pseudomonadota; Gammaproteobacteria; Enterobacterales; Enterobacteriaceae. RNAcentral also lists the same sequence under 8 other names.
AAAUUGAAGAGUUUGAUCAUGGCUCAGAUUGAACGCUGGCGGCAGGCCUAACACAUGCAAGUCGAACGGUAACAGGAAGCAGCUUGCUGCUUUGCUGACGAGUGGCGGACGGGUGAGUAAUGUCUGGGAAACUGCCUGAUGGAGGGGGAUAACUACUGGAAACGGUGGCUAAUACCGCAUAACGUCGCAAGACCAAAGAGGGGGACCUUCGGGCCUCUUGCCAUCAGAUGUGCCCAGAUGGGAUUAGCUUGUUGGUGAGGUAACGGCUCACCAAGGCGACGAUCCCUAGCUGGUCUGAGAGGAUGACCAGCCACACUGGAACUGAGACACGGUCCAGACUCCUACGGGAGGCAGCAGUGGGGAAUAUUGCACAAUGGGCGCAAGCCUGAUGCAGCCAUGCCGCGUGUAUGAAGAAGGCCUUCGGGUUGUAAAGUACUUUCAGCGGGGAGGAAGGUGUUGUGGUUAAUAACCGCAGCAAUUGACGUUACCCGCAGAAGAAGCACCGGCUAACUCCGUGCCAGCAGCCGCGGUAAUACGGAGGGUGCAAGCGUUAAUCGGAAUUACUGGGCGUAAAGCGCACGCAGGCGGUCUGUCAAGUC